RNAcentral lists this transfer RNA (69 nucleotides) under Oniticellus egregius. RNAcentral's name for it is "tRNA-Met". It matches the Rfam family "tRNA". Rfam says of the family: Transfer RNA (tRNA) molecules are approximately 80 nucleotides in length. Their secondary structure includes four short double-helical elements and three loops (D, anti-codon, and T loops). Lineage: Eukaryota; Metazoa; Arthropoda; Insecta; Coleoptera; Scarabaeidae. The record is from RNAcentral.
GAAAAAAUAAGUUAAUUAAACUACUGGGUUCAUACCCCAAUCAUAAAGGUUAUAAUCCUUUUUUUUUCA